CCUACGGGAGGCAGCAGUGGGGAAUCUUGCGCAAUGGGCGAAAGCCUGACGCAGCCAUGCCGCGUGAAUGAUGAAGGUCUUAGGAUUGUAAAAUUCUUUCACCGAGGACGAUAAUGACGGUACUCGGAGAAGAAGCCCCGGCUAACUUCGUGCCAGCAGCCGCGGUAAUACGAAGGGGGCUAGCGUUGCUCGGAAUUACUGGGCGUAAAGGGAGCGUAGGCGGAUAGUUUAGUCAGAGGUGAAAGCCCAGGGCUCAACCUUGGAAUUGCCUUUGAUACUGGCUAUCUUGAGUACGGAAGAGGUAUGUGGAACUCCGAGUGUAGAGGUGAAAUUCGUAGAUAUUCGGAAGAACACCAGUGGCGAAGGCGACAUACUGGUCCGUUACUGACGCUGAGGCUCGAAAGCGUGGGGAGCAAACAGGAUUAGAUACCCUGGUAGUCCACGCUGUAAACGAUGAGUGCUAGUUGUCGGCAUGCAUGCAUGUCGGUGACGCAGCUAACGACAUAAGACACUCCGCCGUCGGGGAGGUACGGUCGCAAGAAUUAAAACUAACGAAAGAAGUUAGACGGCGUGAGACGUGCCGAACGGACGACGACGAGGGAGGUUAGG
RNAcentral lists this ribosomal RNA (609 nucleotides) under uncultured bacterium. RNAcentral's name for it is "bacterial SSU rRNA". The stretch from base 1 to 518 matches the Rfam family "Bacterial small subunit ribosomal RNA", at positions 338 to 873 of the family's 1533-position model. The record is from RNAcentral.